CAGCCGCCACGGGAAUACGUAGGUGGCAAGCGUUGUCCGGAAUUAUUGGGCGUAAAGGGCUCGCAGGCGGUUUCUUAAGUCUGAUGUGAAAGCCCCCGGCUCAACCGGGGAGGGUCAUUGGAAACUGGGAAACUUGAGUGCAGAAGAGGAGAGUGGAAUUCCACGUGUAGCGGUGAAAUGCGUAGAGAUGUGGAGGAACACCAGUGGCGAAGGCGACUCUCUGGUCUGUAACUGACGCUGAGGAGCGAAAGCGUGGGGAGCGAACAGGAUUAGAUACCCCGGUAGUCCCUGUCUCUUAUAU
Molecule: ribosomal RNA, 301 nt
Filed under: uncultured bacterium
Lineage: Bacteria
Description: partial 16S ribosomal RNA
Rfam family: Bacterial small subunit ribosomal RNA
Source: RNAcentral